Molecule: small RNA, 112 nt
Filed under: Plasmodium falciparum 3D7
Lineage: Eukaryota; Apicomplexa; Aconoidasida; Haemosporida; Plasmodiidae
Description: Pfa-mtR52a
Source: RNAcentral
AGCAAGACAUGAUAGGGAGUUGGCAAGUUAAAGAAGUUCUGGUUUAUAAUAGAUACGUUAUUAAUGUUAGGAUGUAUGGGAUAUUUGUAGUACACCUUGAUUGGUUUUACUA